Molecule: ribosomal RNA, 210 nt
Filed under: uncultured bacterium
Lineage: Bacteria
Description: partial 16S ribosomal RNA
Rfam family: Bacterial small subunit ribosomal RNA
Source: RNAcentral
UACGGAGGAUCCAAGCGUUAUCCGGAAUCAUUGGGUUUAAAGGGUCCGUAGGCGGUUUGGUAAGUCAGUGGUGAAAGCCCAUCGCUCAACGGUGGAACGGCCAUUGAUACUGCCAGACUUGAAUUAUUAGGGAAGUAACUAGAAUAUGUAGUGUAGCGGUGAAAUGCUAGAGAUUACAUGGAAUACCCGAAUUGCGAAGGCAGGUUGACU